AGAGUUUGAUCCUGGCUCAGAACGAACGUUGGCGGCGUGGAUUAGGCAUGCAAGUCGAACGAAUCCCAGGGGUGUAGCAAUACAUUCUUGGGGGAAGUGGCGAAAGGGGCAGUAAGGCGUGGGUAACCUACCCCGGGGACCGGGAUAGCCUCUCUAACGGGAGGGUAAUACCGGGCGAUCUGGUUUCGGGGCAUCCUGGGACCAGGAGAUGAGUUUCGCCUCGGGAGGGGCUCACGUGGUAUUAGCUAGACGGCGGGGUAACGGCCCACCGUGGCUUAGAUGCCUAGCGGGUGUGAGAGCACGACCCGCGCCACUGGCACUGAGACACUGGCCAGACUCCUACGGGAGGCUGCAGUCGAGGAUCUUCGGCAAUGGGCGCAAGCCUGACCGAGCGACGCCGCGUGCGCGAUGAAGGCCUUCGGGUUGUAAAGCGCUGUCGAGGGGGAGGAAGACCCGCAAGGGUUUGACCUAUCCCUGGAGGAAGCACGGGCUAAGUUCGUGCCAGCAGCCGCGGUAAGACGAACCGUGCGAACGUUGUUCGGAAUCACUGGGCUUAAAGGGCGCGUAGGCGGGCCUCCCAGUCCGGGGUGAAAGCUUUCGGCUUAACCGGAAACGUGCCUUGGAUACUGGAGGUCUGGAGGGAGGUAGGGGCAGCCGGAACUUCCGGUGGAGCGGUGAAAUGCGUUGAUAUCGGAAGGAACGCCGGUGGCGAAAGCGGGCUGCUGGACCUCUACUGACGCUGAGGCGCGAAAGCCAGGGGAGCGAACGGGAUUAGAUACCCCAGUAGUCC
Molecule: ribosomal RNA, 790 nt
Filed under: uncultured bacterium
Lineage: Bacteria
Description: bacterial SSU rRNA
Rfam family: Bacterial small subunit ribosomal RNA
Source: RNAcentral